UACAGAGGUCCCGAGCGUUGUUCGGAUUCACUGGGCGUAAAGGGUGCGUAGGUGGUGCGGUAAGUUUGAUGUGAAAUCUCCGGGCUCAACCCGGAAAUGGCAUUGAAUACUAUCUUGCUAGAGGAGUGGAGGGGGGACUGGAAUACUUGGUGUAGCAGUGAAAUGCGUAGAUAUCAAGUGGAACACCAGUGGCGAAGGCGAGUCCCUGGACACUUCCUGACACUGAGGCACGAAAGCUAGGGGAGCAAACAGG
Molecule: ribosomal RNA, 253 nt
Filed under: uncultured bacterium
Lineage: Bacteria
Description: partial 16S ribosomal RNA
Rfam family: Bacterial small subunit ribosomal RNA
Source: RNAcentral